UAAUACGGAGGGUGCAAGCGUUAAUCGGAAUUACUGGGCGUAAAGCGCACGCAGGCGGUCUGUCAAGUCGGAUGUGAAAUCCCCGGGCUUAACCUGGGAACUGCAUUCGAAACUGGCAGGCUAGAGUCUUGUAGAGGGGGGUAGAAUUCCAGGUGUAGCGGUGAAAUGCGUAGAGAUCUGGAGGAAUACCGGUGGCGAAGGCGGCCCCCUGGACAAAGACUGACGCUCAGGUGCGAAAGCGUGGGGAGCAAACAGGAUUAGAUACCCUGGUAGUCCACGCCGUAAACGAUGUCGACUUGGAGGUUGUUCCCUUGAGGAGUGGCUUCCGGAGCUAACGCGUUAAGUCGACCGCCUGGGGAGUACGGCCGCAAGGUUA
This 376-nucleotide ribosomal RNA is filed under the name uncultured bacterium. RNAcentral's name for it is "bacterial SSU rRNA". It matches the Rfam family "Bacterial small subunit ribosomal RNA", at positions 521 to 896 of the family's 1533-position model. The record is from RNAcentral.